RNAcentral lists this ribosomal RNA (253 nucleotides) under uncultured bacterium. RNAcentral describes it as "partial 16S ribosomal RNA". It matches the Rfam family "Bacterial small subunit ribosomal RNA", at positions 524 to 776 of the family's 1533-position model. The record is from RNAcentral.
UACGUAGGGCGCAAGCGUUGUCCGGAAUUAUUGGGCGUAAAGAGCUCGUAGGCGGACUGUCACGUCCGAUGUGAAAAGCUAGGGCUUAACCCUGGCCUUGCAGUGGAUACGGGCAGACUAGAGGUAGGUAGGGGAGAAUGGAAUUCCCGGUGUAGCGGUGAAAUGCGCAGAUAUCGGGAGGAACACCGGUGGCGAAGGCGGUUCUCUGGGCCUGACCUGACGCUGAGGAGCGAAAGCGUGGGGAGCGAGCAGG